Molecule: non-coding RNA, 678 nt
Filed under: Oryza barthii
Lineage: Eukaryota; Viridiplantae; Streptophyta; Magnoliopsida; Poales; Poaceae
Source: RNAcentral
ACUAAUUAUAUAUAAAUCAGUUCUGUCGAAUAUAUAAACAAGGUGUGAUUAGAAAAUAAUAUGUGGUAGCUAGCGUUUUGCACAAAUUAACUAGCUGAAAGAAAAGAAAACUAAUAACCAAAUAAUGCGUAUGAAUCUGAAGAUAGAUACAUAUAAAAGAAAGCUAGACAUAUCAUAUAUGGGGAUGGUAUCAUCUGAAGCUGCAAGAGAAAGCAUCAAGAAGCUAAGAGAAGAAGAGAGAGGGUACAGCCUUCAUCAGAGUAUCGAUCAGACUCGCAAAAGAUAGUCAUAUGUGAUCUGAACUAAGGCUGUACUCUCUCUCUUCUUCCUUUAGCCUCGAUGUACAUCUCGAUACUGAAUUGAACUCCAUCUCUCUCUCUAGAGAAAGAGAGAGGCACAAGCACACUCAUCUCUUUCAGGUCUGGUGGUAGCGGUUACCAUUGCGUCGCUCUUCGGUAUGCCUCUAUCGGUUUAUAUAGAUGCAGAAUUAUUGUAGUUGUACAAGGCAUUUGGGCAAUAAUUCACCUGGUGUGUGUAUGUGUGUGUGUGUACUGCAAGGUUGCAAGCUUCAAUUCCGGUGGCACACAUGCAGUGAUAAACGUAGGCCAUCCCAAUAGCCUCCUGUGAGGUCACAACCAUCCAAUAUGGUUGGAUAGGUUGUCAUGUACUACUGUUUUC